AGCGAACGCUGGCGGCAGGCCUAACACAUGCAAGUCGAACGAACCUUUCGGGGUUAGUGGCGGACGGGUGAGUACCACGUGGGAACGUGCCUUUAGGUUCGGAAUAACUCAGGGAAACUUGUGCUAAUACCAAAUGUGCCCUUCGGGGGAAAGAUUUAUCGCCUUUAGAGCGGCCCGCGUCUGAUUAGCUAGUUGGUUGAGGUAAUGGCUCACCAAGGCGACGAUCAGUAGCUGGUCUGAGAGGAUGAUCAGCCACAUUGGGACUGAGACACGGCCCAAACUCCUACGGGAGGCAGCAGUGGGGAAUCUUGCGCAAUGGGCGAAAGCCUGACGCAGCCAUGCCGCGUGAAUGAUGAAGGUCUUAGGAUUGUAAAAUUCUUUCACCGGGGACGACAAUGACGGUACCCGGAGAAGAAGCCCCGGCUAACUUCGUG
This 434-nucleotide ribosomal RNA is filed under the name uncultured bacterium. Its description in RNAcentral is "partial 16S ribosomal RNA". It matches the Rfam family "Bacterial small subunit ribosomal RNA", at positions 29 to 507 of the family's 1533-position model. The record is from RNAcentral.